Molecule: long non-coding RNA, 182 nt
Organism: Symphalangus syndactylus (siamang)
Lineage: Eukaryota; Metazoa; Chordata; Mammalia; Primates; Hylobatidae
Source: RefSeq, a predicted model, not a curated record
ACUCUGAUCUAUAAGUAGGAGACGUAGCGCAUGGUAUCUUACCUGUCCUGCUCCUGCUUUGCAGAAUUUCCUUUAAUAGGUUGUUGUUCAGCCUCUCUGGGCCUUGGUUUCUUAAACUUUACAUUAAGGGUCAUAAUUCUGUUUUUCCCUAUUUCAGGAGUAUGAUCAAAGGGAAAAUAAAA